RNAcentral lists this ribosomal RNA (523 nucleotides) under uncultured bacterium. RNAcentral's name for it is "bacterial SSU rRNA". It matches the Rfam family "Bacterial small subunit ribosomal RNA", at positions 28 to 545 of the family's 1533-position model. The record is from RNAcentral.
GAUGAACGCUGGCGGCGUGCCUAACACAUGCAAGUCGAACGAAGUUAUUUAGGAAAGUUCCUUCGGGAACCGGAAUCUUUAGCUUAGUGGCGGACGGGUGAGUAACGCGUGAGCAAUCUGCCUUUAAGAGGGGGAUAACAGUCGGAAACGACUGCUAAUACCGCAUAACGUAUGGAAUUCGCAUGAUUUCCAUACCAAAGGAGCAAUCCGCUUUUAGAUGAGCUCGCGUCUGAUUAGCUAGUUGGCGGGGUAACGGCCCACCAAGGCGACGAUCAGUAGCCGGACUGAGAGGUUGAACGGCCACAUUGGGACUGAGACACGGCCCAGACUCCUACGGGAGGCAGCAGUGGGGAAUAUUGCGCAAUGGGGGAAACCCUGACGCAGCAACGCCGCGUGAUUGAAGAAGGCCUUCGGGUUGUAAAGAUCUUUAAUUCGGGACGAAAAAAAUGACGGUACCGAAAGAAUAAGCUCCGGCUAACUACGUGCCAGCAGCCGCGGUAAUACGUAGGGAGCAAGCGUUAUC